UUGUGAGGCAUCUCCGGGUGGGGCGCCGGCCUAAGUUCCUUGGAACAGGACGUCAUAGAGGGUGAGAAUCCCGUGCUUGGCUGGCUGUCCCCGUCCAUGUGAGGUGUCUUCGACGAGUCGAGUUGUUUGGGAAUGCAGCUCAAAAUGGGUGGUAAAUUUCAUCUAAAGCUAAAUAUUGGUGGGAGACCGAUAGCGCACAAGUAGAGUGAUCGAAAGAUGAAAAGCACUUUGAAAAUAGAGUUAAAAAGUACGUGAAAUUGUUGAAAGGGAAGCGCUUGAGACCAGACUUCGGUGGGGAGUGAUCAGCCGUCCUUCUGGGCGGUGCACUUGCCCCCCUCCGGGCCAGCAUCGGUUGGGACGGCGGGAUAAAGGUCCCGGGAAUGUGGCUCCUCUCGGGGAGUGUUAUAGCCCGGGUGAAUGCCGCCAGCCCCGACCGAGGACCGCGCCUUCGGGCUAGGAUGCUUGGCAUAAUGGUCUUCAGCGAC
RNAcentral lists this ribosomal RNA (485 nucleotides) under Morchella americana. RNAcentral describes it as "partial large subunit ribosomal RNA". It matches the Rfam family "Eukaryotic large subunit ribosomal RNA", at positions 151 to 648 of the family's 3401-position model. Lineage: Eukaryota; Fungi; Ascomycota; Pezizomycetes; Pezizales; Morchellaceae. The record is from RNAcentral.